This 689-nucleotide ribosomal RNA is filed under the name Rhodotorula dairenensis. Its description in RNAcentral is "LSU rRNA". It matches the Rfam family "Eukaryotic large subunit ribosomal RNA", at positions 1 to 645 of the family's 3401-position model. Lineage: Eukaryota; Fungi; Basidiomycota; Microbotryomycetes; Sporidiobolales; Sporidiobolaceae. The record is from RNAcentral.
GGAUUAGAGCCGGGUUAGGUUAAAGGAAGCUUCUAAUCAGAAUGUCUACAUUUUAAGAUUAGAUCUCAAAUCAGGUAGGACUACCCGCUGAACUUAAGCAUAUCAAUAAGCGGAGGAAAAGAAACUAACAAGGAUUCCCCUAGUAGCGGCGAGCGAAGCGGGAAGAGCUCAAAUUUAUAAUCUGGCACCUUCGGUGUCCGAGUUGUAAUCUCUAGAAAUGUUUUCCGCGCUGGACCGCACACAAGUCUGUUGGAAUACAGCGGCAUAGUGGUGAGACCCCCGUAUAUGGUGCGGAUGCCCAGCGCUUUGUGAUACAUUUUCGAAGAGUCGAGUUGUUUGGGAAUGCAGCUCAAAUUGGGUGGUAAAUUCCAUCUAAAGCUAAAUAUUGGCGAGAGACCGAUAGCGAACAAGUACCGUGAGGGAAAGAUGAAAAGCACUUUGGAAAGAGAGUUAACAGUACGUGAAAUUGUUGGAAGGGAAACGCUUGAAGUCAGACUUGCUUGCCGAGCAAUCGGUUUGCAGGCCAGCAUCAGUUUUCCGGGAUGGAUAAUGGUAGAGAGAAGGUAGCAGUUUCGGCUGUGUUAUAGCUCUCUACUGGAUACAUCUUGGGGGACUGAGGAACGCAGUGUGCCUUACGGCGGGGGUUUCGACCUCUUCACACUUAGGAUGCUGGUGGAAUGGCUUUAAAC